This 465-nucleotide ribosomal RNA is filed under the name uncultured bacterium. RNAcentral describes it as "partial 16S ribosomal RNA". It matches the Rfam family "Bacterial small subunit ribosomal RNA", at positions 339 to 795 of the family's 1533-position model. The record is from RNAcentral.
CUACGGGAGGCUGCAGUCGAGAAUCAUUCGCAAUGGGCGCAAGCCUGACGAUGCGACGCCGCGUGAGCGAUUAAGGCCUUCGGGUUGUAAAGCUCUGUCGCAUGGGACGAAUGGUAAUGAGGUGAAUAAUCUUUUUAUUUGACGGUACCAUGUAAGGAAACUUCGGCUAACUCCGUGCCAGCAGCCGCGGUAAUACGGAGGAAGUAAGCGUUGUUCGGAUUUAUUGGGCGUAAGGGGCGUGUAGGCGGUUAUGUUAGUCAGACGUGAAAUCCCUCUGCUUAACAGAGGAACUGCGUUUGAAACUGCAUGGCUUGAGAUCAGAAGAGGAGAGCGGAAUUCUCGGUGUAAGAGUGAAAUCUGUAGAUAUCGAGAGGAACACCAGUGGCGAAGGCGGCUCUCUGGUCUGAUACUGACGCUGAGGCGCGAAAGCUAGGGGAGCGAACGGGAUUAGAUACCCCGGUAGUC